Molecule: unclassified non-coding RNA, 1276 nt
Filed under: Hevea brasiliensis (rubber tree)
Lineage: Eukaryota; Viridiplantae; Streptophyta; Magnoliopsida; Malpighiales; Euphorbiaceae
Source: RNAcentral
AGUAAGCUUAUUAGAGAAGAAUUGGAUAAUAUGGGGAUUCAGUAUAAAUACCCUUUUGCCAAUACUGGUAUUGUUGGCUUCAUUGGUUCAGGAGACCCCCCUUUUGUUGGGAUUAGAGCGGAUAUGGACGCUCUUCCUAUGCAGGAAAUGGUGGACUGGGAGCACAAAAGUAGAAAUCCUGGUAAAAUGCACGCAUGUGGACAUGAUGCUCAUAUUGCAAUGCUUCUUGGUGCUGCAAAGAUUCUUCUACAACAUCAGAACAUUUUGAAGGGAACAGUUGCUCUUGUUUUUCAACCAGCAGAGGAGGGAGGUGGUGGGGCCAAGAAAAUGAUAGAAGCUGGAGCACUAGAAAAUGUAGAAGCAAUAUUUGGUCUGCAUGUCCAUCCCAACUUUCCUUUGGGUAAAGUUUCUUCAAGACCUGGACCCUUUCUGGCGGGAAGUGGUUUUUUUGAAGCUGUAAUUAGUGGAAGAGGGGGUCAUGCCGCUAUUCCACAACAUUCGAUAGAUCCAAUUCUGGCAGCAUCAAAUGUCAUUGUCAGCUUACAGCAUCUAGUUUCCCGAGAGGCUGAUCCUCUGGAUUCUCAGGUAGUCACAGUUGCUAAAUUCCAAGGAGGCGGUGCAUUUAAUGUUAUUCCAGACUCUGUUACCAUCGGUGGCACUUUUCGGGCUUUUUCAAAGGAGAGCUUUCUGCAGCUUAGGCAACGAAUUGAAGAGGUUAUUGUUGGGCAAGCUGCUGUACAGAGGUGCAAUGCAACUGUGGAUUUUCUUACAAACAGCAAACCCUUCUUCCCUCCAACCGUGAAUGACAAAAACUUGCACAAACACUUCCAGAGAGUUGCAGGUGAUAUGCUUGGUAACGAUCAUGUAAAAGACAUGGAACCACUAAUGGGAUCAGAGGAUUUUGCGUUUUACCAAGAGGUUAUCCCGGGUUACUUCUACAUGCUCGGAAUGCAGGGUGAAACAAAUGAAAACCCUGCAUCAGUCCAUUCACCUUACUUCAAAAUAAACGAAGAAGCACUUCCUUUGGGUGCUGCACUUCAAGCAUCUUUGGCUAUUACAUAUCUUCUCGAAGCACAACCACAAGUUCCUUCAUCAAGUAUAAAUGGUCACGAUGAAUUGUGAGGUGCUACUCUUUUGUAGGCAUAUGCACGAAAUAGAUCCUUGUUCAUUUAUAUGUAAUGCUGGAACCGGCCAAUCUAGCUUGAAAUAUCUGGAACAAGGUCAACGUCUACAUAACAAUUAUUUACUUCAACAACAAUAACAACGUUGUAUAUUU